Helicoverpa zea (corn earworm) is the source of this 612-nucleotide long non-coding RNA. RefSeq lists it as uncharacterized. Lineage: Eukaryota; Metazoa; Arthropoda; Insecta; Lepidoptera; Noctuidae. The record is from RefSeq and is a predicted model, not a curated record. The transcript is spliced from 2 exons.
CGUAAAAUUAGUGUUGGUCACCGUGUGCGCCGAUUGUGCGCUAUCGACAGCGAACCUUAUCGCGGAACCGGCCGCGUUGUGACUGGUUAUACGAGACGUGUGUAUUUGUUGUCAGUUUUAACACUGGAGACUGCGGGCUUGUACGGGGCAGUGUGUGAACGCGCUAACAUUGUGCAGUGCGUUGGCGAGCGCCGUGACGAGCGCGCCGGUGGGCGGCGGCCGCGCUUUCAGCAACUCUUGCGACGGCGACACGUACUCAUCAACACCCUUCUGCGCGCGAACCUCUAGCUCCGCCCGACGCUCCAAUAGAGUUAACGACACAUUCGCUUCUAGAACAUAACAUUCAACUAUAUUAGGUAAACACAAUACUGAUAAUCAAUAUAGUUCCCUAUCUAUACAUCAGUAGGCACUUAAUUGAUAACAGGACGCUAGUGAUUAAAUAUUUAUAGUGAUUAAAAUAUUUGAAACAUGAAUAUGAUUUAGAUUUAGCAUAGCUUUCCCGUUUGCAUUUACUGGCAUGCUUAUCUAUUAAGAAACAAGGCAAGCCAAUGUUCCGGAUCUUAACAUUUACUCGUCUUACAGUUAUACUUACAUAAAAGGUACAUAAUCUAA